This 233-nucleotide ribosomal RNA is filed under the name uncultured bacterium. RNAcentral's name for it is "partial 16S ribosomal RNA". It matches the Rfam family "Bacterial small subunit ribosomal RNA", at positions 122 to 354 of the family's 1533-position model. The record is from RNAcentral.
UAACCUGCCUUGGAGUGGGGAAUAACAGCUGGAAACAGCUGCUAAUACCGCAUAAUGCAGUUGGGUCGCAUGGCUCUGACUGCCAAAGAUUUAUCGCUCUGAGAUGGACUCGCGUCUGAUUAGCUAGUUGGCGGGGUAACGGCCCACCAAGGCGACGAUCAGUAGCCGGACUGAGAGGUUGGCCGGCCACAUUGGGACUGAGACACGGCCCAGACUCCUACGGGAGGCAGCAG